RNAcentral lists this ribosomal RNA (416 nucleotides) under uncultured bacterium. Its description in RNAcentral is "bacterial SSU rRNA". It matches the Rfam family "Bacterial small subunit ribosomal RNA", at positions 1001 to 1414 of the family's 1533-position model. The record is from RNAcentral.
CCGAAAGGCAGGAGUGCCUGCAAGGGAGCGCGGAGACAGGUGGUGCAUGGCUGUCGUCAGCUCGUGUCGUGAGAUGUUGGGUUAAGUCCCGCAACGAGCGCAACCCUCACCUCUUGUUGCCAUCAGGUCACGCUGGGCACUCUAGAGGAACUGCCCCGGUCAACGGGGAGGAAGGCGGGGAUGACGUCAAGUCAUCAUGCCCCUUACGUCCUGGGCUACACACGUGCUACAAUGGCCGGUACAAAGGGAUGCCACACCGCGAGGUAGAGCUAAACCCAAAAAGCCGGUCUAAGUUCGGAUUGGAGUCUGCAACUCGACUCCAUGAAGGAGGAAUCGCUAGUAAUCGCGUAUCAGCACGACGCGGUGAAUACGUUCCCGGGCCUUGUACACACCGCCCGUCAUACCACGAAAGCCAG